RNAcentral lists this ribosomal RNA (497 nucleotides) under uncultured bacterium. RNAcentral describes it as "partial 16S ribosomal RNA". It matches the Rfam family "Bacterial small subunit ribosomal RNA", at positions 28 to 507 of the family's 1533-position model. The record is from RNAcentral.
GAUGAACGCUGGCGGCGUGCCUAAUACAUGCAAGUCGAGCGAACGGACGAGAAGCUUGCUUCUCUGAUGUUAGCGGCGGACGGGUGAGUAACACGUGGAUAACCUACCUAUAAGACUGGGAUAACUUCGGGAAACCGGAGCUAAUACCGGAUAAUAUUUUGAACCGCAUGGUUCAAAAGUUAAAGACGGUCUUGCUGUCACUUAUAGAUGGAUCCGCGCUGCAUUAGCUAGUUGGUAAGGUAACGGCUUACCAAGGCAACGAUGCAUAGCCGACCUGAGAGGGUGAUCGGCCACACUGGAACUGAGACACGGUCCAGACUCCUACGGGAGGCAGCAGUAGGGAAUAUUCCGCAAUGGGCGAAAGCAUGACGGAGCAACGCCGCGUGAGUGAUGAAGGUCUUCGGAUCGUAAAACUCUGUUAUUAGGGAAGAACAUAUGUGUAAGUAACUGUGCACAUCUUGACGGUACCUAAUCAGAAAGCCACGGCUAACUACGUG